This 437-nucleotide ribosomal RNA is filed under the name uncultured bacterium. RNAcentral's name for it is "partial 16S ribosomal RNA". It matches the Rfam family "Bacterial small subunit ribosomal RNA", at positions 28 to 507 of the family's 1533-position model. The record is from RNAcentral.
GAUGAACGCUGGCGGCAUGCUUAACACAUGCGAGUCGAACGGGAAGUGGUGUUUCCCGUGGCGAACGGGUGAGUAACGCGUAAGAACCUGCCCUUGGGAGGGGAACAACAACUGGAAACGGUUGCUAAUACCCCGUAGGCUGAGGAGCAAAAGGAGAAAUCCGCCCAAGGAGGGGCUCGCGUCUGAUUAGCUAGUUGGUGAGGUAAUAGCUUACCAAGGCGAUGAUCAGUAGCUGGUCCGAGAGGAUGAUCAGCCACACUGGGACUGAGACACGGCCCAGACUCCUACGGGAGGCAGCAGUGGGGAAUUUUCCGCAAUGGGCGAAAGCCUGACGGAGCAAUGCCGCGUGGAGGUGGAAGGCCUACGGGUCGUCAACUUCUUUUCUCGGAGAAGAAACAAUGACGGUAUCUGAGGAAUAAGCAUCGGCUAACUCUGUC